AUUGAACGCUGGCGGCAGGCCUAACACAUGCAAGUCGAACGAGUGGCGGACGGGUGAGUAAUGUCUGGGAAACUGCCCGAUGGAGGGGGAUAACUACUGGAAACGGUAGCUAAUACCGCAUACCAUCGGCAGUGCCCAAAUGGGAUUAUCUAGUAGGUGGGGUAAAGGCUACCCUAGGCGACGAGACCUAGCUGGUCUGAGAGGAUGACCAUCCACACUGGAACUGAGACACGGUCCAGACUCCUACGGGAGGCAGCAGUGGGGAAUAUUGCACAAUGGGCGCAAGCCUGAUGCAGCCAUGCCGCGUGGGUGAAGAAGGCCUUCGGGUUGUAAAGCACUUUCAGCGGGGAGGCGUUACCCGCAGAAGAAGCACCGGCUAACUCCGUGCCAGCAGCCGCGGUAAUUC
Molecule: ribosomal RNA, 406 nt
Filed under: uncultured bacterium
Lineage: Bacteria
Description: partial 16S ribosomal RNA
Rfam family: Bacterial small subunit ribosomal RNA
Source: RNAcentral